This 1333-nucleotide ribosomal RNA is filed under the name metagenome. RNAcentral's name for it is "SSU rRNA". It matches the Rfam family "Eukaryotic small subunit ribosomal RNA", at positions 1 to 1369 of the family's 1831-position model. The record is from RNAcentral.
UCUGGUUGAUCCUGCCAGUAGUCAUAUGCUUGUCUCAAAGACUAAGCCAUGCAUGUCUAAGUAUAAAUAGUAUACAGUGAAACUGCGAAUGGCUCAUUAAAACAGUUAUAGUUUAUUUGAUAAUUGACAAUUACAUGGAUAACCGUGGUAAUUCUAGAGCUAAUACAUGCUUAAACGCCCGACUUUAUGGAAGGGUGGUAUUUAUUAGACUGAAGCCAAUAUUCCUUGUGUCUAUUGCGGUGAUUCAUAAUAACUGAUCGAAUCUCUUUUUGAGAUAAAUCAUUCAAGUUUCUGCCCUAUCAGCUUUCGAUGGUAGUGUAUUGGACUACCAUGGCAGUAACGGGUAACGAAGAAUAGGGUUCGAUUUCGGAGAGGGAGCAUGAGAAACGGCUACCACAUCUAAGGAAGGCAGCAGGCGCGUAAAUUACCCAAUCCUGACUCAGGGAGGUAGUGACAAGAAAUAGCAAACCGGGAACCUCAUGGUUUCACGGUAUUGCAAUGAGAACAAUUUAAAACCCUUAGCGAGAAUCAAGUGGAGGACAAGUCUGGUGCCAGCACCCGCGGUAAUUCCAGCUCCACUAGCGUAUAUUAAAGUUGUUGCAGUUAAAAAGCUCGUAGUUGAACCUCUGUCUGGGGCUAGUUUUGGCUUUGGUCAGGCUAGUUCUAGGCAUCCGCCUACAAGACUUAGAGGGCAUUCAGUUGUUCACUAGGAGGAGUAGGCAUUUUACUUUGAAAAAAUUAGAGUGUUUAAGGCAGGCAAUCGCCCGCAUAUAUUAGCAUGGAAUAAUAGAAUAGGACACUUUUCCAUUUCGUUGGUUAUUGGAAUCGUGUAAUGAUUAAUAGGGACAGUUGUGGGCAUUUGUAUUUAAUUGUCAGAGGUGAAAUUCUUGGAUUUAUUAAAGACAAACUAACGCGAAAGCAUUUGCCAAGGAUGUUUUCAUUAAUCAAGAACGAAAGUUAGGGGAUCAAAGACGAUCAGGUACCGUCCUAGUCUUAACUAUAAACUAUUCCGACUCAAUGUUUGACUGGCUUAUAUAACCAGUUGAGCGUUGUAUGAGAAAUCAAAGUCUUUAGGUUCUGGGGGGAGUAUGGUUGCAAAGCUGAAACUUAAAGGAAUUGACGGAAGAGCACAACCAGGAGUGGAUUCUGCGGCUUAAUUUGACUCAACACGGGGAAACUUACCAGGUUAAAACAAUAGUGGGAUUGACAGUUUGAGAGCGCUUUCUUGAUUGGUUGGGUGGUGGUGCAUGGCCGUUCUUAGUUGGUGGAGUGAUUUGUCUGCUUAAUUGCGUUAACGAACGAGACCUUAGCCUGCUUACUAGACUGGCGAAAG